GAGCACGUAGGUGGGUUUGUAAGUCAGAUGUGAAAGCCUUCUGUUCAACGGAAGAAUUGCAUCUGAAACUGCUAAUCUUGAGUAUAGGAGGGGAGAAUGGAACUUCUGGUGGAGCGGUGAAAUGCGUAGAUAUCAGAAGGAACGCCGGCGGCGAAAGCGAUUCUCUGGCCUAUUACUGACACUCAGUGUGCGAAAGCUAGGGGAGCAAACGGGAUUAGAUACCCCGGUAGUCCUAGCCGUAAACGAUGGGCACUAAGUAGAGGGGUUUUA
RNAcentral lists this ribosomal RNA (270 nucleotides) under uncultured anaerobic ammonium-oxidizing bacterium. Its description in RNAcentral is "partial 16S ribosomal RNA". It matches the Rfam family "Bacterial small subunit ribosomal RNA", at positions 565 to 833 of the family's 1533-position model. The record is from RNAcentral.